UUUCAAAAGGUUUAUUACUUGUGCAAUAAUUUAGGCUUCCAGUAUUUUUAAAAAAUAUGCCUGUGACAAGCAACACACAUCUAAAAUAUACUGGUUGUUUUUACUUCUGUAGUCUGUAACAAAAUGGACUGCCUUUGAUUUCUUGGGACCAUAUUGCUCCAAUAUCAUAAAUAAAACAACAGUUACAUUCCCUUUAAAACUAUGAAGACAGUGAUUACAUACUUUAAUAUUUUAAUGAAUAUCAUAACAUCUAAUAAAGCGAUGGAUCUGUUGUGAAAUUCUCAAAUACUCAAAGCUAAUAUUACAAAGUUAAUAGUGAGACCAAGAUCACCCAAACUACAGCAGUCGGCACCGAACAAACAGUGAUGUAAUCUGCACCUAAAUGUAAAUACAGUAGCUACCGUUAUUAGUAGUAGUAUGGCACACAUGAGCUAAAUACUUAAUACAGCAUUUAGAAACAUCUGUCCAGAUCAGAUGUGCAGAUGGUUCCGUGGGCAUCUGGAUGGUGAGGGCUUGGAGCCAGAGAGCGGAAAUUUGUUAACUUAAUUCAAAAUCUAUAUUUACAAAGCUGGAAAUGUCAAAAUAGUCAUUUUAGACCGGGGAAUUCUCAAAUUAAAACCUGUCUAUUGCCAAAACUUUUUUCUUGAAAAAUGCUUCAACAUGGCAUCCCCAUAAAUCUUAGCUUACACAUGUCAAAACAAGCGCCAUCAUUACAGAUGUGGAUUUGGGGAAAAACAAAAAACAAAAAAAGCACCUUCAGUGUCUUUAUUCUGAAGGCGCUGAUGCAACACUGGCUCCAAGCCCGUGAGCUGGGGUUUGGGAAUCUGUUUUCUACCCUUCCUACUCUGUCUCUCUGAUCUUUCUAUCCGCACUUUGCACUCCUCUAUCUGACUCGUUUUCAUUCAUUCCAAGUCUGGAUACACUCGUAGUAACAGUUUAUAUCACAGGAAGCGAGUUUGUUCAGUUGGAGUCCUGCAUUUCCACUCCUGAAGCUUCUUCACCUCCACCUUCACUGGACUGCUCCUCAUCUGGGAAAAAAACACAGAUAGAGGAUUUUUCAUCAGUUUUUCAAACAGGCUAUUUUCAUUUCUGUGUUUCUGUGCAUUUGAAGUUAAAGGUUCAAGAUAGAAUUAGAUGAGAAGAUUACUAUCG
Long non-coding RNA from Oreochromis aureus, 1152 nucleotides. NCBI's taxonomy places the organism in Eukaryota, Metazoa, Chordata, Actinopteri, Cichliformes, Cichlidae. The record is from Ensembl.